Long non-coding RNA from Mesocricetus auratus (golden hamster), 352 nucleotides. RefSeq lists it as uncharacterized. NCBI's taxonomy places the organism in Eukaryota, Metazoa, Chordata, Mammalia, Rodentia, Cricetidae. The record is from RefSeq and is a predicted model, not a curated record. The transcript has 3 exons.
CUUUCUCACAGUGGGUUUUAAGCACAAAAGCCGCAUCCUGGGUUGACACAUCUCAGUCAUCAAGAACAGUUAUCCAGAAGCAGAAUUACAGAAGCCAAAAAAGCAAGUGUUCUGACAACUGAGGUUCAAAAUAAAAACACCAGAGACCUGGGAUCCAAGCUCAGCUUUUGGGAUCCAAGUUGAACUUUCAGAUUAGGUCAUGAGUGCAAUAGAGGACCUGAAAGUUUGAGCUCUCCUGAGUAUAUAAGAUGCUAUACUUCUUAAUAAACUUGCUGGCAUGAGUCAUCAGCUCACGAAGACCUCCUGACCCCAACUUUCCCGUCGUUAUUAUUCCUCUCCUCCCGGGUCCUCC